UUGCUCCCUGAUGUUAGCGGCGGACGGGUGAGUAACACGUGGGUAACCUGCCUGUAAGACUGGGAUAACUCCGGGAAACCGGGGCUAAUACCGGAUGGUUGUUUGAACCGCAUGGUUCAGACAUAAAAGGUGGCUUCGGCUACCACUUACAGAUGGACCCGCGGCGCAUUAGCUAGUUGGUGAGGUAACGGCUCACCAAGGCGACGAUGCGUAGCCGACCUGAGAGGGUGAUCGGCCACACUGGGACUGAGACACGGCCCAGACUCCUACGGGAGGCAGCAGUAGGGAAUCUUCCGCAAUGGACGAAAGUCUGACGGAGCAACGCCGCGUGAGUGAUGAAGGUUUUCGGAUCGUAAAGCUCUGUUGUUAGGGAAGAACAAGUGCCGUUCAAAUAGGGCGGCACCUUGACGGUACCUAACCAGAAAGCCACGGCUAACUACGUGCCAGCAGCCGCGGUAAUACGUAGGUGGCAAGCGUUGUCCGGAAUUAUUGGGCGUAAAGGGCUCGCAGGCGGUUUCUUAAGUCUGAUGUGAAAGCCCCCGGCUCAACCGGGGAGGGUCAUUGGAAAACUGGGGAACUUGAGUGC
Molecule: ribosomal RNA, 586 nt
Filed under: Bacillus siamensis
Lineage: Bacteria; Bacillati; Bacillota; Bacilli; Caryophanales; Bacillaceae
Description: bacterial SSU rRNA
Rfam family: Bacterial small subunit ribosomal RNA
Source: RNAcentral